AAUGAUGAAUGUCAUAGAUUAGACAUCUAGGUUUAUUCUAUAAAUGAAAGUGUAAGCAUUCCACCUCAAGAGUAAUUUGGCAACAUUGGAACUGAAAUCAUUAGACCGUUUCUGAAACCAGUAGUGAAGUAUGUUGUUUAAUUUGAUGAUCCGCAAAAAACCUUACCACAACUUGAAUAUUUAUAUCUAUCUCUUUUCAUUAAUCUAUUUUUAUCUUUUUUUUAAGAAAAAAGAUAGAAACUUUUAAAGAAAAGACUAAUGAUAUCUUUACAAGCGUUGCACGGCUGUCUUCAGUUAAUGUCGCGAGACUUUGGUUAGUUCCAUUAAAUUAACGCAAACCCUUACUUUAUUUUUACAUAAAGUAGUUCCCCACUAUAUUGGAUAAGAUAACAGGGACUAAGACAAGUCAUCAUGGCCUUAAUGUUGU
Molecule: ribosomal RNA, 427 nt
Filed under: Lecanora compallens
Lineage: Eukaryota; Fungi; Ascomycota; Lecanoromycetes; Lecanorales; Lecanoraceae
Description: partial small subunit ribosomal RNA
Rfam family: Bacterial small subunit ribosomal RNA
Source: RNAcentral